GUAGUUCUAUGGGAUAGAACCAAUUCGGCCACAGAAAACCCCAUCAGAUGCCCCACUUGGCCUAACAAGUCCAAAAGGACACUGCUUCCUUCACAAGCACACACACUCACCUCCAACCCUGCCCCAGUGAUUCGGGUGUGUCGGAAUUACUCGAAGAGAGACCCCAACCAAGAGAUCUGCUCCAGUCCUCCACUAAUCCAGUGAUCCCUUUAUCAGCCUUAGAACCUGCAGGUGCUGGUUCACACCAGGUGGGCCCUUUAGCCUGGACAGCCAAGCAUAGCUUUUGCUUCCAACUGAAAUGAAAUCUGCCAUUUUGCUCUUUGGAACAAAGCAGUGGAUGUAACGGAGUCAACUGCAGGCCACAAAAAUGGAAAAAUGUGCAGCUAUGUUCUUAGACUCCUGCUCUCAAUCCCCUGCAAAAAGAUUCAACAGCAACGGUCAGUCUGGAGCUCUUUGUUGAUCUAGAUGGCUUCCUCCAAGACAAUCUUCUUGUCUACUGAGAUCCUUGGCAAAAAUAAUCACAAACUAUCCCAUGACAGCUCUCACACGAUUUUAACCAUUGUGAAUUUCUAGUCUGAUCCACUAGGUCACAAAAUAAAUCCAAUGGCUGAUAAAUUCCUGGCCCCAUGUCUAAUUUGAUCCCGU
Callithrix jacchus (white-tufted-ear marmoset) is the source of this 645-nucleotide long non-coding RNA. RefSeq lists it as uncharacterized. The record is from RefSeq and is a predicted model, not a curated record. Lineage: Eukaryota; Metazoa; Chordata; Mammalia; Primates; Cebidae.